RNAcentral lists this ribosomal RNA (559 nucleotides) under Yponomeuta griseatus. RNAcentral describes it as "partial 16S ribosomal RNA". The stretch from base 412 to 559 matches the Rfam family "Archaeal large subunit ribosomal RNA", at positions 2542 to 2690 of the family's 2987-position model. The record is from RNAcentral. Lineage: Eukaryota; Metazoa; Arthropoda; Insecta; Lepidoptera; Yponomeutidae.
CGCCUGUUUAUCAAAAACAUGUCUUUUUGAUUAAUAAUUUAAAGUCUGGUCUGCCCACUGAUUAAAAUAAUUAAAGGGCUGCAGUAUUUUGACUGUACAAAGGUAGCAUAAUAAUUAGUCUUUUAAUUGAUGACUUGUAUGAAUGAUUAGAUAAAAUAUAAGCUGUCUCUUAAUAAAUUUAUAGAAUUUAAUUUUUUAUUUAAAAAGUUAAAAUAAUUUUAAAAGACGAGAAGACCCUAUAGAGUUUAAUAAUUUUAUAAAUUAAAAUUGUAUUUAUAAAUUUAAUUAAAAAUUAUAUAAUUAUUUUAUUGGGGUGAUAAAAAAAUUAAUAAAACUUUUUUUAAAUAUUAACAAAAAUAAUUGAAUAUUUGAUCCAAUUUUAUUUUGAUUAUAAGAUUAAAUUACCUUAGGGAUAACAGCGUAAUUUUUUUUUUUAGUUCUUAUAAAAAAGAAAGUUUGCGACCUCGAUGUUGGAUUAAGAUAAAAUUUAAAUGCAAAAGUUUAAAAUUUUGAUCUGUUCGAUCAUUAAAAUCUUACAUGAUCUGAGUUCAAACCGGAG